This 270-nucleotide ribosomal RNA is filed under the name uncultured bacterium. Its description in RNAcentral is "partial 16S ribosomal RNA". It matches the Rfam family "Bacterial small subunit ribosomal RNA", at positions 29 to 286 of the family's 1533-position model. The record is from RNAcentral.
AGCGAACGUUAGCGGCGCGCCUAACACAUGCAAGUCGCACGAGAAAGGGCUUCGGCCCCGGUACAGUGGCGCACGGGUGAGUAACACGUGGGUAACCUUCCCAAACGUGGUGGAUAACCUGCCGAAAGGCGGGCUAAUACAGCAUGAGACCUUUGAUCUUCGGGUUGGAGGUGAAAGCAGGCUUCUGUUUACAAGCUUGCGCGUUUGGAUGGGCCCGCGUCCCAUCAGCUAGUUGGUGAGGUAAAGGCUCACCAAGGCUACGACGGGUAG